Molecule: non-coding RNA, 73 nt
Organism: Trichonephila clavipes
Lineage: Eukaryota; Metazoa; Arthropoda; Arachnida; Araneae; Nephilidae
Source: the annotation of a GenBank genome assembly
GUCCCUGUAGCGCAAUGGAUACCGCGUUGGAUUUAAAAUCCAAAGGUCGUUGGUUCGAAUCCUACAUGAGACG